GGGGACGUAACAAAGCGACCCAGGAAUGCUUGGGCGUGCCUCCACCCACGCCGGCGUCGGCGGGCGUAUUUCGCCUCACAGUAGGUCGCCGCGACCCGUUGCUUUUGGGGACGUCGAAGGCCCGGACGGAUUGGUACCCUACCGGCUGGGGAUGCGGCUUCGGCUUCUCCUCUUGUCCGGUGGGCGAAACCGCCGGUGUCCUGGCUGCCCUGCGACGGUCGUAGAGACGAGCUCUCCCCAUUCGUGGGGGGCGGUUCUCGCGGCGUGCAAAAGGUCGGUGAUCCACCCGACCCGUCUUGAAACACGGACCAAGGAGUCUAACAUGUGUGCGAGUCAGUGGGCGCACUAAACCCAGAGGCGUAAUGAAAGUGACACGGGUUCGGCUGUCGCCUCGUGUGGCAGCCGGACUCAGGGCCGAUCCCUCACCGGUUGCCCUCGCCUCUCUCCCGCGUCUCGGUAAGCCGGGUGAGCUAUUUUCCCCGGCCAAUGCUGCGGGGCUCGGGGGGAGGCGGGGUUGCGAUGGUGUCCGUAAAAAAGAGCCUGCUGUUGCAGGGGGGCGCAGGCCCGGGACUUGCCAGGACGCCGCGAGACUGUCACUUUGCUGUGAGGCUCUAGGGCCGAUCAGCGGGUCAUGCGUGCAGUCGGCAAGUACCAUGAGCAGACAUGUUGGGACCCGAAAGAUGGUGAACUAUGCCUGGCCAGGAUGAAGCCAGAGGAAACUCUGGUGGAGGUCCGUAGCGAUUCUGACGUGCAAAUCGAUCGUCGGAGCUGGGUAUAGGGGCGA
RNAcentral lists this ribosomal RNA (784 nucleotides) under Cambarus williami. RNAcentral describes it as "eukaryotic LSU rRNA". The stretch from base 308 to 784 matches the Rfam family "Eukaryotic large subunit ribosomal RNA", at positions 665 to 926 of the family's 3401-position model. Lineage: Eukaryota; Metazoa; Arthropoda; Malacostraca; Decapoda; Cambaridae. The record is from RNAcentral.